AAUAUACAGGGGGAGACUCUUAU
RNAcentral lists this microRNA (23 nucleotides) under Echinops telfairi (small Madagascar hedgehog). The record is from RNAcentral. Lineage: Eukaryota; Metazoa; Chordata; Mammalia; Afrosoricida; Tenrecidae.